RNAcentral lists this ribosomal RNA (1200 nucleotides) under metagenome. RNAcentral describes it as "SSU rRNA". It matches the Rfam family "Eukaryotic small subunit ribosomal RNA", at positions 1 to 1235 of the family's 1831-position model. The record is from RNAcentral.
UCUGGUUGAUCCUGCCAGUAGUCAUAUGCUUGUCUCAAAGAUUAAGCCAUGCAUGUCUAAGUAUAAAUAGUAUACAGUGAAACUGCGAAUGGCUCAUUAAAACAGUUAUAGUUUAUUUGAUAAUUGACAAUUACAUGGAUAACCGUGGUAAUUCUAGAGCUAAUACAUGCUUAAACGCCCGACUUUAUGGAAGGGUGGUAUUUAUUAGACUGAAGCCAAUAUUCCUUGUGUCUAUUGCGGUGAUUCAUAAUAACUGAUCGAAUCUCUUUUUGAGAUAAAUCAUUCAAGUUUCUGCCCUAUCAGCUUUCGAUGGUAGUGUAUUGGACUACCAUGGCAGUAACGGGUAACGAAGAAUUAGGGUUCGAUUUCGGAGAGGGAGCAUGAGAAACGGCUACCACAUCUAAGGAAGGCAGCAGGCGCGUAAAUUACCCAAUCCUGACUCAGGGAGGUAGUGACAAGAAAUAGCAAACCGGGAACCUCAUGGUUUCACGGUAUUGCAAUGAGAACAAUUUAAAACCCUUAGCGAGAAUCAAGUGGAGGACAAGUCUGGUGCCAGCACCCGCGGUAAUUCCAGCUCCACUAGCGUAUAUUAAAGUUGUUGCAGUUAAAAAGCUCGUAGUUGAACCUCUGUCUGGGGCUAGUUUUGGCUUUGGUCAGGCUAGUUCUAGGCAUCCGCCUACAAGACUUAGAGGGCAUUCAGUUGUUCACUAGGAGGAGUAGGCAUUUUACUUUGAAAAAAUUAGAGUGUUUAAGGCAGGCAAUCGCCCGCAUAUAUUAGCAUGGAAUAAUAGAAUAGGACACUUUUCCAUUUCGUUGGUUAUUGGAAUCGUGUAAUGAUUAAUAGGGACAGUUGUGGGCAUUUGUAUUUAAUUGUCAGAGGUGAAAUUCUUGGAUUUAUUAAAGACAAACUAACGCGAAAGCAUUUGCCAAGGAUGUUUUCAUUAAUCAAGAACGAAAGUUAGGGGAUCAAAGACGAUCAGAUACCGUCCUAGUCUUAACUAUAAACUAUUCCGACUCAAUGUUUGACUGGCUUAUAUAACCAGUUGAGCGUUGUAUGAGUAAUCAAAGUCUUUAGGUUCUGGGGGGAGUAUGGUUGCAAAGCUGAAACUUAAAGGAAUUGACGGAAGACCACAACCAGGAGUGGAUUCUGCGGCUUAAUUUGACUCAACACGGGGAAACUUACCAGGUUAAAACAAUAGU